GGUGGGUUGGCUGAGUGGUCUAAAGCAGGGGCUUGCUAAGCCUCGGGGAGUAAAUUUUCCCCUCGCAGGUUCGAAUCCUGCACCCACCG
This 89-nucleotide transfer RNA is filed under the name Candidatus Parcubacteria bacterium. RNAcentral's name for it is "tRNA-Ser". It matches the Rfam family "tRNA". Rfam says of the family: Transfer RNA (tRNA) molecules are approximately 80 nucleotides in length. Their secondary structure includes four short double-helical elements and three loops (D, anti-codon, and T loops). Lineage: Bacteria; Candidatus Parcubacteria. The record is from RNAcentral.